This 73-nucleotide transfer RNA is filed under the name Cyathus striatus. RNAcentral's name for it is "tRNA-His". It matches the Rfam family "tRNA". From Rfam's summary of the family: Transfer RNA (tRNA) molecules are approximately 80 nucleotides in length. Their secondary structure includes four short double-helical elements and three loops (D, anti-codon, and T loops). The record is from RNAcentral. Lineage: Eukaryota; Fungi; Basidiomycota; Agaricomycetes; Agaricales; Nidulariaceae.
GGUAGGAUUAAUUUAACUGGCAAAAUAUCGUUUUGUGGCAACGAAUACUCGAGUUCGAUCCUCGAAUCUUAUC